AUGCCACCAGACCACAUUACACCCUUGAAUAAAGCAACAAUUCAAAACCACGUUGGACAGUUAGAGUUUUUUUUAUUGUCCGUACACUCAUUACAUUUUUGCUUCAAGACAAUAGCACAGAUACUGCUAGCUAGCUAUGAACAUGUUUCAUCAAGUAACGUUAGCCUAUAUAUAUAUAUAUAUAUAUAUAUAUAUAUAUAUAAAAAUAACAAAUACCCCUCUCAUACGAAUUAUAAAAGUGCAGUAGUCCUACCUUACAACAUUAGCUUAUCAAAGUUAAGAACAAACCAAGCUUCAUUUUUAUCAAUAUCAUGCAGAUCAUUACAUGUGGUAAAAGGAAAUUGUGACUGAAAACAUAGGUAAUUCACUGGGGAGUUCGAUCAGCUGCUUGCUGGCCAAAUGUAUAUUAUUUGUUCACAAUCACCUCUCGCCCAAGAAAAAAAAUCAGCUCGGACGAGAUGCUCCUGACAAAUUAAGUGUCGGGUAUUUAUGAAUACAUUAUCAUCAUAUUGGUUCAAGGAUCUUUCCAUUUUUUCAGGAUUGUUUUUAAAUGAACAUGAUAUGCAGCAACAACACAUUUCGUCCAGCAAUAAUUCAAGCCAUGAUGAAAUUAAAUUAUCCUUUGGAAUUUGCGAUUCAGGUUAGGGAUAGGCUAAUUUGAGUGAUUUGAACUCCUUGCUUUUGAGAAUCUAUGGUAGUGUAAAACGCUCUAAUCCACACACUCAGCAGUUUACAAUCCUUCUGUUUGUUGUGGGAGAGCAUGUGACCCAAGGUUUGAGAGAGAGAGAGAGAAUUUGAGCCUUAUGCAAAUGUCAAUUGGUUAUAGUUGAAAAAGUAUAAAUGGUAUCAAAAAGCUGAAUACAAUCACCCUAUUGUGCCAGUCCGGUCAGCACAUUUUAAAGUUUGAAUGGCGUUUCUAGCCAUAACGGUUGAAAACUACUUAUGGUCCAAACUUUUACCAUGUCAUAUUAUGACCAUUGUAAUGCAUUGUGAUUUGUGCAAGUACUUUUGUAGUGUGAAAAGUAUUAGUAGUUUCAAAACGUUUUUUUUUUUCAAGCAAGUUGUUUUGGUGUUGGUAGAUUUGAUGGUUUUGGUGUUGGUAGAUUUGAUGGUUUUGGUGCUGGUAGAUUUGAUGGUUUUGGUGCUACAGGUGGUAACGGAAUAAUAAUACAUUUUGUUGAAAUGAUGUGGAAACAACAUUGAUUCAACCAGUGUGUGUCUUGUGGGAAGUAUGAGCAAGCACACCUAAUUAUUCAUGUAGACAGUUUACUUUAUUGAAUAAUUAACCAUUUUGGAGUUUAGACAAUGGUUCUGAUUAUAUCUAGUUGAUUUCCUUGCACACAUUCAGUAACAAAUAAAAACAAAAUAUUUGUGUCAAAACUAAAUAGCCUACUGACUGACAGGUAAUCAUUUCAGGUGUGGUGAUCCUCAGGUGAUCAUGAGGAUGUGUUCGGCAUAUCUGUCAAUGUCAUACUGUCCUAUAGGCCUACAGUUCAAUCAUGUCCUCCCCUUCCUCCUGGGCGAACAGAUAUGUGGCAAAAUUGAACAAAAACGCCUUAAUCUUAUGCCCGUUUGACACCCACCAUGCUUUGUACAUAGCCUCCCCAAACAGCACAGACAGGAAGAUGAUGACGAAGAUGAGAAAGCAGCGGUCAGUGUAGUAGGUAAUCUUCUCCCUGCGGGUCUUCUGGUCCCAGGGCAGGGCUUGGCGGGCCUCGGCAUAGCGGCUAAAGUGUAGCAAGGCAUCCUCCUCCUCAGCCGUCUCCCUCUCAUGCUCAGUAACUCCGUCUCCUUGUGCCAUCUCUUCAAGACUUCCUCUAUUGGGCGAUUCUAUAUAUCCCUUCACCCUAAACCCUCUAGUUCAGGAUUUCAACGUUCACAAAACUAACAAAUAAUUUGAGAUGGAGAGAAAUGCAGAGAGUGGUGAUUAUAGUUUUAGAGCAUCCAUGCUGCUUGUGUGUCCCUCGUGAAAAUUGGUAUCCAGUCUGUCGAUUAGCACUCUUGGAUCUCUGGUAACUUAGCGUCCAUUGUCAACUCCUCCUCCUGUUGUUGUCUCUGUUUUCUGAAUCGACGAGAAACAGUCUUGAUGUCUCCUGUGUGUUAUUCUGUCUGGUUUUCUCCCUGUGUUAGACUGGCUGAAGGGAAUAAAGUGCCAGGCUGAUUAGUUAAGUCAGGACACUUCACUAAGAAGAUAUAGGGGAUUAAGCCACACUCAGCAGUUUACAAUCCUGUUUGACCCAAGGUAACAGAUUGUAAAAGAGAGAGAGGGGGAGGGGAGAGGGAGAGAGAAAGAGAGAUCAUUAAAUUGGAAAAUUGGCUUUUGUCAGUCAAGUCAGUGUCCUCUUAUACAGACAGUUAGCAUGAUUGAUAGGAGCACAAUCCCUCUUGCAUCAGUAUCAUCUCUCCCAUGUCCUGUCAUGGAGUCUUUCAGCUGGGUAGACUGUCCAUUUCUAACAGCUCCUUCUAACAGAUCCAUGCAGGACCUAAGCCACACAAGGCUGCGGGGCUAGACGGAUUACCAGGACGUGUGCUCUGGGUAUGUGCUGACCAACUGGCAGGUGUCUUCACUGACAUUUUCAACAUGUCCCUGAUUGAGUCUGUAAUACCAACAUGUUUCAAGCAGACCACCAUAGUCCCUGUGCCCAAGAACACAAAGACAACCUGCCUAAAUUACUACAGACCUGUAGCACUCACGUGCGUAGCCAUGAAGUGCUUUGAAAUGCCGGUAAUGGCUCACAUCAACACCA
RNAcentral lists this long non-coding RNA (2747 nucleotides) under Oncorhynchus mykiss (rainbow trout). Its description in RNAcentral is "lncRNA (ENSOMYG00000069892.1)". Lineage: Eukaryota; Metazoa; Chordata; Actinopteri; Salmoniformes; Salmonidae. The record is from RNAcentral.